GUGAGGAAUAUUGCGCAAUGGGGGAAACCUUGACGCAGCAACGCCGCGUGGGUGAAGAAGGCCUUCGGGUUGUAAAGCCCUGUCAGGUGGGAAGAACCCUCCGCAGACGAAACAUCUGCGGAACUGACGGUACCACCAGAGGAAGCACCGGCUAACUCCGUGCCAGCAGCCGCGGUAAGACGGAGGGUGCAAGCGUUGUUCGGAAUCACUGGGCGUAAAGCGCGUGUAGGCGGUUGGAUAAGUCGGGUGUGAAAGCCCGGAGCUCAACUCCGGAAGUGCAUUCGAAACUGUCCAGCUAGAGUACGGGAGAGGAGAGUGGAAUUCCUGGUGUAGAGGUGAAAUUCGUAGAUAUCAGGAGGAACACCGGUGGCGAAGGCGGCUCUCUGGACCGAUACUGACGCUGAGACGCGAAAGCGUGGGGAGCAAACGGGAUUAGAAACCCGAGUAGUCC
This 451-nucleotide ribosomal RNA is filed under the name uncultured bacterium. Its description in RNAcentral is "bacterial SSU rRNA". It matches the Rfam family "Bacterial small subunit ribosomal RNA", at positions 354 to 796 of the family's 1533-position model. The record is from RNAcentral.